This 460-nucleotide ribosomal RNA is filed under the name uncultured bacterium. Its description in RNAcentral is "partial 16S ribosomal RNA". It matches the Rfam family "Bacterial small subunit ribosomal RNA", at positions 338 to 795 of the family's 1533-position model. The record is from RNAcentral.
CCUACGGGGGGCAGCAGUGAGGAAUAUUGGUCAAUGGACGAGAGUCUGAACCAGCCAAGUAGCGUGAAGGAUGACUGCCCUAUGGGUUGUAAACUUCUUUUAUAUGGGAAUAAAAUGUUCCACGUGUGGGAUUUUGUAUGUACCAUAUGAAUAAGGAUCGGCUAACUCCGUGCCAGCAGCCGCGGUAAUACGGAGGAUCCGAGCGUUAUCCGGAUUUAUUGGGUUUAAAGGGAGCGUAGGUGGAUUGUUAAGUCAGUUGUGAAAGUUCGUGGCUCAACCGUAAAAUUGCAGUUGAAACUGGCAGUCUUGAGUAGAGUAGAGGUGGGCGGAAUGCGUGGUGUAGCGGUGAAAUGCUUAGAGAUCACGAAGAACUCCGAUUGCGAAGGCAGCUCACUGGACUGAAACUGACGCUGAGGCACGAAAGUGUGGGUAUCGAACAGGAUUAGAUACCCCAGUAGUC